This 482-nucleotide ribosomal RNA is filed under the name uncultured bacterium. RNAcentral describes it as "partial 16S ribosomal RNA". It matches the Rfam family "Bacterial small subunit ribosomal RNA", at positions 30 to 507 of the family's 1533-position model. The record is from RNAcentral.
AUUGAACGCUGGCGGCAUGCUUUACACAUGCAAGUCGAACGGUAACAGGCCGCAAGGUGCUGACGAGUGGCGAACGGGUGAGUAAUGCAUCGGAACGUGCCCAGUCGUGGGGGAUAACUACUCGAAAGAGUAGCUAAUACCGCAUACGAUCUAUGGAUGAAAGCGGGGGACCGUAAGGCCUCGCGCGAUUGGAGCGGCCGAUGUCAGAUUAGGUAGUUGGUGGGGUAAAGGCUCACCAAGCCAACGAUCUGUAGCUGGUCUGAGAAGACGACCAGCCACACUGGGACUGAGACACGGCCCAGACUCCUACGGGAGGCAGCAGUGGGGAAUUUUGGACAAUGGGCGCAAGCCUGAUCCAGCAAUGCCGCGUGCAGGAAGAAGGCCUUCGGGUUGUAAACUGCUUUUGUACGGAACGAAACGGCUCUGGUUAAUACCCGGGGCUAAUGACGGUACCGUAAGAAUAAGCACCGGCUAACUACGUG